This 371-nucleotide ribosomal RNA is filed under the name uncultured bacterium. RNAcentral's name for it is "bacterial SSU rRNA". It matches the Rfam family "Bacterial small subunit ribosomal RNA", at positions 525 to 896 of the family's 1533-position model. The record is from RNAcentral.
ACGUAGGUGGCAAGCGUUGUCCGGAUUUAUUGGGCGUAAAGCGAGCGCAGGCGGAAGAAUAAGUCUGAUGUGAAAGCCCUCGGCUUAACCGAGGAACUGCAUCGGAAACUGUUUUUCUUGAGUGCAGAAGAGGAGAGUGGAACUCCAUGUGUAGCGGUGGAAUGCGUAGAUAUAUGGAAGAACACCAGUGGCGAAGGCGGCUCUCUGGUCUGCAACUGACGCUGAGGCUCGAAAGCAUUGCUAGCGAACAGGAAUAGAUACCCUGGUAGUCCAUGCCGUAAACGAUGAGUGCUAAGUGUGGAGGUUUCCGCCUCUCAGUGCUGCAGCUAACGCAUUAAGCACUCCGCCUGUGGAGUACGACCGCAAGGUUG